This 22-nucleotide microRNA is filed under the name Ixodes scapularis (black-legged tick). RNAcentral describes it as "Isc-Mir-96-P3_3p* (star (passenger))". RNAcentral also lists the same sequence under 1 other name. Lineage: Eukaryota; Metazoa; Arthropoda; Arachnida; Ixodida; Ixodidae. The record is from RNAcentral.
GUGACUUCUCCGGUGCUGUGGA